GACGAGGGGUCCUAGCGUUGUUCGGAAUUAUUGGGCGUAAAGCGGGUGCAGGCGGCUUUGCAAGUCAGAAGUGAAAGCCCUGGGCUUAACCCAGGAAGUGCUUUUGAUACUGCAUGGCUUGAGUGUGGGAGAGGAUAGUAGAAUUCCUGGUGUAGUGGUGAAAUACGUAGAUAUCAGGAGGAAUACCGGCGGCGAAGGCGGCUAUCUGGCCCAACACUGACGCUCAGACCCGAAAGCGUGGGGAGCAAACAGG
This 253-nucleotide unclassified non-coding RNA is filed under the name uncultured Pseudobdellovibrionaceae bacterium. Its description in RNAcentral is "uncultured Bdellovibrionaceae bacterium contains 16S-23S intergenic spacer region". It matches the Rfam family "Bacterial small subunit ribosomal RNA", at positions 524 to 776 of the family's 1533-position model. Lineage: Bacteria; Pseudomonadati; Bdellovibrionota; Bdellovibrionia; Bdellovibrionales; Pseudobdellovibrionaceae. The record is from RNAcentral.